This 253-nucleotide ribosomal RNA is filed under the name uncultured bacterium. Its description in RNAcentral is "partial 16S ribosomal RNA". It matches the Rfam family "Bacterial small subunit ribosomal RNA", at positions 524 to 776 of the family's 1533-position model. The record is from RNAcentral.
UACGUAGGGUGCGAGCGUUGUCCGGAAUUAUUGGGCGUAAAGGGCGCGUAGGCUGUGCUGUAAGUCAGGCGUGAAAGCCCCGGGCUCAACCUGGGAAUUGCGCUUGAUACUGCGGCGCUGGAAGGUGGGAGAGGAUGGCGGAAUUCCCAGUGUAGAGGUGAAAUUCGUAGAUAUUGGGAAGAACACCGGUGGCGAAGGCGGCCAUCUGGCCCACAUUUGACGCUGAGGCGCGAAAGCGUGGGGAGCAAACAGG